AUCGUCACUAAUCGAAGCUUGCACAAUUGGAGUUGUUUUGACUCAGAAUUAAAGCUUUGGGGAAAGUCUCCGACCUGAACGUAUGCGGAAAACGUAAUGAGAUUUAAAAAUUAUUUACAAUGUUUAAAUAGACUCAUUAGUCAAUUCAUUGUUUAUUCGAUGGAUUGAUUGUUGUCCCAUCUCCCUUGCGUGGGAUAGAUGGUGUUUCUUCGGUACUGGGAUCUCUUUUUUUAUAGAUCCUAAACCAUAGUUAUGACGAUUGCUCUUUGAUUUUUUUUCAUUGAGUAACCCAAUGGAGCU
This 300-nucleotide RNase MRP RNA is filed under the name Monosporozyma servazzii. Its description in RNAcentral is "Kazachstania servazzii partial RNase MRP RNA". It matches the Rfam family "RNase MRP", at positions 14 to 251 of the family's 266-position model. Rfam says of the family: RNase MRP is an enzymatically active ribonucleoprotein with two distinct roles in eukaryotes. In mitochondria it plays a direct role in the initiation of mitochondrial DNA replication. The record is from RNAcentral. Lineage: Eukaryota; Fungi; Ascomycota; Saccharomycetes; Saccharomycetales; Saccharomycetaceae.